UACCACUUCAGUUACUACUUAGUUAUUCCUACCAGGGGAUUAAUUCACUGAUUGGGUUAAGACUCUCACAACCCAAUCAUUUUUUCUCUGAACCAUCUUGCAUUGUUUUGGGAGGGGGGGGAUGCCUUACAUCCAUACUAUAAUAUGGGGCUCUAAUUUACAUUUUUAAAAGCUCAUUGGCUGAGAGGGCUUCAGUCCUUAUAGCAUGUCAGGAACGUAAAACUGGUGAAUAUUACUGGGAAAAAGCCAAAAGUUUAGUCUAUGGAAAUGUUCUAAAAGAAGUCAAGCUAUUGAAGACAAAUUAUCCAAGAAAAUUUAUUAAAAUUUGGUAAGAGCAGCAAGAAUCUGUGUUAUUUCAUCCAGAACCUACUUCUUCCUUACCUCUCCCAACUGAGAUAACUCUGCUCCAAAAUGUUACAGUCUGUUCCCUAGUUCCAGGCCACUGUCUUCUGGGGAGGAGCAUACUAAACAUGUUUCUUCCUGCCUCCAGCUGCUGUUGUUAGCCAAGUGUAACCAAGAGAUAGGCCCCCACCCCUUUCCUACUCAGUCCCUGCUCCUGGGACAGAGGCUCUAUUUUGGACAAGUGAAGCUGGGAUGUCACGCAGUGAGAAGUGUGCCAUUUUCCC
RNAcentral lists this long non-coding RNA (626 nucleotides) under Marmota monax (woodchuck). The record is from RNAcentral. Lineage: Eukaryota; Metazoa; Chordata; Mammalia; Rodentia; Sciuridae.